AGCGAACGCUGGCGGCAGGCUUAACACAUGCAAGUCGAGCGGGCGUAGCAAUACGUCAGCGGCAGACGGGUGAGUAACGCGUGGGAACGUACCUUUUGGUUCGGAACAACCCAGGGAAACUUGGGCUAAUACCGGAUAAGCCCUUACGGGGAAAGAUUUAUCGCCGAAAGAUCGGCCCGCGUCUGAUUAGCUAGUUGGUGAGGUAAUGGCUCACCAAGGCGACGAUCAGUAGCUGGUCUGAGAGGAUGAUCAGCCACAUUGGGACUGAGACACGGCCCAAACUCCUACGGGAGGCAGCAGUGGGGAAUAUUGGACAAUGGGCGCAAGCCUGAUCCAGCCAUGCCGCGUGAGUGAUGAAGGCCCUAGGGUUGUAAAGCUCUUUUGUGCGGGAAGAUAAUGACGGUACCGCAAGAAUAAGCCCCGGCUAACUUCGUGCCAGCAGCCGCGGUAAUACGAAGGGGGCUAGCGUUGCUCGGAAUCACUGGGCGUAAAGGGUGCGUAGGCGGGUCUUUAAGUCAGGGGUGAAAUCCUGGAGCUCAACUCCAGAACUGCCUUUGAUACUGAAGAUCUUGAGUCCGGGAGAGGUGAGUGGAACUGCGAGUGUAGAGGUGAAAUUCGUAGAUAUUCGCAAGAACACCAGUGGCGAAGGCGGCUCACUGGCCCGGUACUGACGCUGAGGCACGAAAGCGUGGGGAGCAAACA
This 702-nucleotide ribosomal RNA is filed under the name uncultured Alphaproteobacteria bacterium. RNAcentral describes it as "bacterial SSU rRNA". It matches the Rfam family "Bacterial small subunit ribosomal RNA", at positions 28 to 774 of the family's 1533-position model. The record is from RNAcentral. Lineage: Bacteria; Pseudomonadati; Pseudomonadota; Alphaproteobacteria.